RNAcentral lists this ribosomal RNA (594 nucleotides) under uncultured bacterium. RNAcentral's name for it is "bacterial SSU rRNA". The stretch from base 1 to 518 matches the Rfam family "Bacterial small subunit ribosomal RNA", at positions 338 to 873 of the family's 1533-position model. The record is from RNAcentral.
CCUACGGGAGGCAGCAGUGGGGAAUCUUGCGCAAUGGACGAAAGUCUGACGCAGCCAUGCCGCGUGAAUGAUGAAGGUCUUAGGAUUGUAAAGUUCUUUAGCCUGUGACGAUGAUGACGGUAACAGGAGAAUAAGCCCCGGCUAACUUCGUGCCAGCAGCCGCGGUAAUACGAAGGGGGCUAGCGUUGUUCGGAAUUACUGGGCGUAAAGCGCGCGUAGGCGGUUAUGCAAGCCAGAGGUGAAAUGCCUGAGCUCAACUUAGGAAUUGCCUUUGGAACUGCAUGGCUUUGAGGACGAGAGAGGUGAGUGGAAUUCCCAGUGUAGAGGUGAAAUUCGUAGAUAUUGGGAAGAACACCGGUGGCGAAGGCGGCUCACUGGCUCGUUUCUGACGCUGUAGCGCGAAAGCGUGGGGAUCAAACAGGAUUAGAUACCCUGGUAGUCCACGCUGUAAACGAUGAGUGCUAGGCGUUGGCACGCUUGCGUGUCAGUGCCGCAGCUAACGCGUGAAGCNCNCCGCGNGGNGCGGUCGCGAGAGUAAACUACGAAGAAGUAGACGGCGUGAGACGAGCCGACGGACGACGACGAGGGAGGAGG